RNAcentral lists this unclassified non-coding RNA (783 nucleotides) under Portunus trituberculatus (swimming crab). RNAcentral's name for it is "uncharacterized LOC123510291, transcript variant X8". The record is from RNAcentral. Lineage: Eukaryota; Metazoa; Arthropoda; Malacostraca; Decapoda; Portunidae.
AGCAGCUUAUCGGAGAGGGCGUCAGCUCCGCGCACCAGGAAGUUAGUGAGGCCCGGGGCGUGACUCAACAGCUGACGGAGGAUGGUGGCGCUGCAGGUGUCCGUGUUCACGCUAGUCCACACCUGCAGCAUAUGACAGGGCAUGGAUGGGACACUGAGCCAAGACAAUAAAGAAGCGACAGCGUCCACCUCAACCAUGACGGGAACAAGGUGGAACGGCGACUGGCCGAGUGGAGACUGCCUGACGAAGAGGACCACAGAUAAUGGUCCUGCCUCUGCUGAAGGGAGAACUAAACCAGCGUGUCCCAACAACCCCCAACCUGCUGCAGGAAACUGGCUCUUCUUGCAUUGGAAGACGGAAAGUCUCGCUGCGCCUUCCACGGUGGAAUUGGAUCCUGCCUCGCACCAGCUGCCAUGACACUUGUCAUCCAGGGAGAGAGGACAGCCUGCAUCUCUGCACAUUCCACGGAGGAAUUGGACCCUGCCGCACACCAGCUGGCAUGACAUGUGCCAUCCAGGGAGGAAGGACACACUGCAUUUCUGCACAUUCUACGGAAAAAUUGGACCUUGCUGACAACACGCGGCGUCAUCCAGGGAGGGAGGACAGACUGAGUUGCUGCAUCUAACCUAACAAAUACAUGUUGCCAAUCACUCUUAUGUUGUUAUUCCUUCCAUCUGAUGUGAAUGUUACUCAUAAAUGUAAUGUUAUUAUUCCUUCAUGUUCUGUGAUGUACCCACACAACUGGUGGUAGUUUUUAAUAAAUCAUGAUUAAGAAAACUGAAA